AGACUCACCUGGCAGGGGAGGUACAGUGAUCACAAAGGUGUUUUUCUCAGGUGAGGCUGAUCCCUUUCACUCAGGUUGCGUUGACCCCCGCGAUUUCCCCAAAUGUAGAUAAUUUGUGGUGGGGGACUGCAUUUGCAUUCUCCCC
This 145-nucleotide small nuclear RNA is filed under the name Erinaceus europaeus (western European hedgehog). RNAcentral's name for it is "U1 spliceosomal RNA (ENSEEUG00000021464.1)". It matches the Rfam family "U1 spliceosomal RNA". Rfam says of the family: U1 is a small nuclear RNA (snRNA) component of the spliceosome (involved in pre-mRNA splicing). The record is from RNAcentral. Lineage: Eukaryota; Metazoa; Chordata; Mammalia; Eulipotyphla; Erinaceidae.